RNAcentral lists this ribosomal RNA (253 nucleotides) under uncultured bacterium. RNAcentral's name for it is "partial 16S ribosomal RNA". It matches the Rfam family "Bacterial small subunit ribosomal RNA", at positions 524 to 776 of the family's 1533-position model. The record is from RNAcentral.
UACGAAGGGGGCUAGCGUUGUUCGGAUUUACUGGGCGUAAAGCGCACGCAGGCGGAUGCGCGCGUGGGGUGUGAAAUCUGGCCGCUUAACGGCCAGGCGCCAUCCCAUACGGCGCGUCUGGAGUGAUGCAGAGGUCGAUGGAAUUGCCGGUGUAGUGGUGAAAUGCGUAGAGAUCGGCAGGAACACCCAGGGGGAAACCAGUCGACUGGGCAUCUACUGACGCUGAGGUGCGAGAGCGUGGGGAGCGAACCGG